Molecule: non-coding RNA, 45 nt
Filed under: Schistosoma margrebowiei
Lineage: Eukaryota; Metazoa; Platyhelminthes; Trematoda; Strigeidida; Schistosomatidae
Source: RNAcentral
AUUCGGCUGACAAGUCCUAAAUAGGACGAAACACGCGUCCUAGAU